This 254-nucleotide ribosomal RNA is filed under the name uncultured bacterium. RNAcentral describes it as "partial 16S ribosomal RNA". It matches the Rfam family "Bacterial small subunit ribosomal RNA", at positions 524 to 776 of the family's 1533-position model. The record is from RNAcentral.
UACGUAGGCAGCAAGCGUUUGUUCGGAAUUACUGGGCGUAAAGAGUGUGUAGGCGGUGCUCUAAGUUCGGUGUGAAAGCCCCCGGCUCAACUGGGGAGGGUCAUUCGAUACUGAUCGACUUGAAGGCAGGAGAGGGAAGUGGAAUUCCCGGUGUAGUGGUGAAAUGCGUAGAUAUCGGGAGGAACACCAGUGGCGAAGGCGACUUCCUGGCCUGUUCUUGACGCUGAGGCGCGAAAGCGUGGGGAGCGAACAGG